ACUCCUACGGGAGGCAGCAGUGGGGAAUUUUGGACAAUGGGCGCAAGCCUGAUCCAGCCAUGCCGCGUGCGGGAAGAAGGCCUUCGGGUUGUAAACCGCUUUUGUCAGGGAAGAAAUCCUUUGGGUUAAUACCUCGGAGGGAUGACGGUACCUGAAGAAUAAGCACCGGCUAACUACGUGCCAGCAGCCGCGGUAAUACGUAGGGUGCGAGCGUUAAUCGGAAUUACUGGGCGUAAAGCGUGCGCAGGCGGUCUUGCAAGACAGGUGUGAAAUCCCCGGGCUUAACCUGGGAACUGCACUUGUGACUGCAGGCUGGAGUACGGCAGAGGGGGAUGGAAUUCCGCGUGUAGCAGUGAAAUGCGUAGAUAUGCGGAGGAACACCGAUGGCGAAGGCAAUCCCCUGGGCCUGUACUGACGCUCAUGCACGAAAGCGUGGGGAGCAAACAGGAUUAGAUACCCUGGUAGUCCACGCCCUAAACGAUGUCAACUGGUUGUUGGACGGCUUGCUGUUCAGUAACGAAGCUAACGCGUGAAGUUGACCGCCUGGGGAGUACGGCCGCAAGGUUGAAACUCAAAUGAAUUGACGGA
Molecule: ribosomal RNA, 588 nt
Filed under: uncultured Aquabacterium sp.
Lineage: Bacteria; Pseudomonadati; Pseudomonadota; Betaproteobacteria; Burkholderiales; Sphaerotilaceae
Description: bacterial SSU rRNA
Rfam family: Bacterial small subunit ribosomal RNA
Source: RNAcentral